This 744-nucleotide ribosomal RNA is filed under the name uncultured bacterium. Its description in RNAcentral is "bacterial SSU rRNA". It matches the Rfam family "Bacterial small subunit ribosomal RNA", at positions 61 to 805 of the family's 1533-position model. The record is from RNAcentral.
GUCGAGGGGUAUAGGUUUUCGGACCUAGAGACCGGCGCACGGGUGCGUAACGCGUAUGCAAUCUACCUUUUACAGAGGGAUAGCCCAGAGAAAUUUGGAUUAAUACCUCAUAGUAUUAUUGAAUGGCAUCAUUUAAUAAUUAAAGUCACAACGGUAAAAGAUGAGCAUGCGUCCCAUUAGCUAGUUGGUAAGGUAACGGCUUACCAAGGCAACGAUGGGUAGGGGUCCUGAGAGGGAGAUCCCCCACACUGGUACUGAGACACGGACCAGACUCCUACGGGAGGCAGCAGUGAGGAAUAUUGGUCAAUGGGCGCAAGACUGAACCAGCCAUGCCGCGUGCAGGAUGACGGUCCUAUGGAUUGUAAACUGCUUUUGUACAGGAAGAAACAGUUCUACGUGUAGAACCUUGACGGUACUGUAAGAAUAAGGAUCGGCUAACUCCGUGCCAGCAGCCGCGGUAAUACGGAGGAUCCAAGCGUUAUCCGGAAUCAUUGGGUUUAAAGGGUCCGUAGGCGGUUUUGUAAGUCAGUGGUGAAAGCCCAUCGCUCAACGGUGGAACGGCCAUUGAUACUGCAAGACUUGAAUUAUUGGGAAGCAACUAGAAUAUGUAGUGUAGCGGUGAAAUGCUUAGAGAUUACAUGGAAUACCAAUUGCGAAGGCAGGUUGCUACCAAUAUAUUGACGCUGAUGGACGAAAGCGUGGGGAGCGAAACCGGAUUAGAUACCCUGGUAGUCCACGCCGUAA